AUUUAAGUAGCUUAUAAUAUAGAGCAUGACACUGAAGUUGUUAUGGAGGCAAUUUUUGCCCUUGAAUA
Molecule: transfer RNA, 68 nt
Filed under: Diestrammena asynamora
Lineage: Eukaryota; Metazoa; Arthropoda; Insecta; Orthoptera; Rhaphidophoridae
Description: tRNA-Phe
Source: RNAcentral